Ailuropoda melanoleuca (giant panda) is the source of this 105-nucleotide small nuclear RNA. Lineage: Eukaryota; Metazoa; Chordata; Mammalia; Carnivora; Ursidae. The record is from Ensembl.
GUGUUCACUUCAGCAGCACAUACACUAAAAAUUGGAACAAUACAGAGACUAGCAUGGGCCCCGUGCAAGGAUGACACACAAAUUCAUGAAGAGUUCCACAUUAAA